This 790-nucleotide ribosomal RNA is filed under the name uncultured Pseudomonas sp. Its description in RNAcentral is "bacterial SSU rRNA". It matches the Rfam family "Bacterial small subunit ribosomal RNA", at positions 163 to 948 of the family's 1533-position model. Lineage: Bacteria; Pseudomonadati; Pseudomonadota; Gammaproteobacteria; Pseudomonadales; Pseudomonadaceae. The record is from RNAcentral.
CUAAUACCGCAUACGUCCUACGGGAGAAAGCGGGGGAUCUUCGGACCUCGCGCCAUUAGAUGAGCCUAGGUCGGAUUAGCUAGUUGGUGAGGUAAUGGCUCACCAAGGCGACGAUCCGUAACUGGUCUGAGAGGAUGAUCAGUCACACUGGAACUGAGACACGGUCCAGACUCCUACGGGAGGCAGCAGUGGGGAAUAUUGGACAAUGGGCGAAAGCCUGAUCCAGCCAUGCCGCGUGUGUGAAGAAGGUCUUCGGAUUGUAGAGCACUUUAAGUUGGGAGGAAGGGUAGUAGCCUAAUACGUUGCUACUUUGACGUUACCGACAGAAUAAGCACCGGCUAACUUCGUGCCAGCAGCCGCGGUAAUACGAAGGGUGCAAGCGUUAAUCGGAAUUACUGGGCGUAAAGCGCGCGUAGGUGGUUCAGUAAGUUGGAAGUGAAAUCCCCGGGCUCAACCUGGGAACUGCUUUCAAAACUGCUGAGCUAGAGUACGGUAGAGGGUGGUGGAAUUUCCUGUGUAGCGGUGAAAUGCGUAGAUAUAGGAAGGAACACCAGUGGCGAAGGCGACCACCUGGACUGAUACUGACACUGAGGUGCGAAAGCGUGGGGAGCAAACAGGAUUAGAUACCCUGGUAGUCCACGCCGUAAACGAUGUCAACUAGCCGUUGGAAUCCUUGAGAUUUUAGUGGCGCAGCUAGCGCAUUAAGUUGACCGCCUGGGGAGUACGGCCGCAAGGUUAAAACUCAAAUGAAUUGACGGGGGCCCGCACAAGCGGUGGAGCAUGUGGUUUA